This 441-nucleotide ribosomal RNA is filed under the name uncultured bacterium. RNAcentral describes it as "partial 16S ribosomal RNA". It matches the Rfam family "Bacterial small subunit ribosomal RNA", at positions 338 to 795 of the family's 1533-position model. The record is from RNAcentral.
CCUACGGGUGGCAGCAGUGGGGAAUAUUGCACAAUGGGGGAAACCCUGAUGCAGCGACGCCGCGUGAGUGAAGAAGUAUUUCGGUAUGUAAAGCUCUAUCAGCAGGAACGAGACAAGACGGUACCUGACUAAGAAGCCCCGGCUAACUACGUGCCAGCAGCCGCGGUAAUACGUAGGGGGCAAGCGUUAUCCGGAAUCACUGGGUGUAAGGGGAGCGUAGACGGCUGAGCAAGCCUGAAGUGAAAGGCGGGGGCCCAACCCCCGGACUGCUUUGGGAACUGUACGGCUGGAGUGCAGGAGAGGUAAGUGGAAUUCCUAGGGUAGCGGUGAAAUGCGUAGAUAUUAGGAGGAACACCAGUGGCGAAGGCGGCUUACUGGACUGUAACUGACGUUGAGGCUCGAAAGCGUGGGGAGCAAACAGGAUUAGAUACCCGGGUAGUC